Molecule: non-coding RNA, 747 nt
Organism: Meriones unguiculatus (Mongolian gerbil)
Lineage: Eukaryota; Metazoa; Chordata; Mammalia; Rodentia; Muridae
Source: the annotation of a RefSeq genome assembly
CAAAGUCAUUGUGGGAACUGUCAUGUGAUAACAAGUAAUGCAGCUCUCAACCCUUGACGUGGUGAGCUUACUUUCUUCUGCCCUCACUCUGCCAUGGGCACCAGGCUUCACGGCUGGGCAGUGCUCUGUCUCCUGGAGGCAGUGCUUUCUGAAGCUGGAGUCACCCAGUCUCCCAGAUAUGCAAUCAUACAGGAAAGACAGCCUGUUUCUUUUCAGUGUGACCCUAUUUCUGGGCAUAUUACCCUUUACUGGUAUCAGCAGCCCAAAGACCAGGGCCCCCAGCUCCUAGUUUACUUUCAGAAUAAGGAUGUUGGGGAUGAUUCACAGCUGCCCAAGGAUCGUUUUUCUGCAGUCCGGUCUAAUGGUGUUGACUCUACUCUCAAGAUCCAGUCUGCAAAGCUGGGAGACUCAGCUACAUAUCUCUGUGCCAGCAGCUUAGCCACAGCAAUACACAGACACUUCCUUCCCAUGCAUAAAGCUGAUGGCUUUCUUCAACUCAGCUUUCAGCAGAGACCCCGGAUUAUGUCUUUUCCUCCACGGACAGAGUGGAUCUUUAGACAUAGGCCCUGCUUGGACGUAACCAGAGAUCACAAAUUCUCUCUUGAAACACGAGGCUUAGCUGACAUCAUUCCUGUGGAAUUUAAAGGACAGUUCUUAACUGAUCGACGAUUUGAGUGUGAGUAUGUUAGUGUGACAGUUGUGUCACAGUGUGGGAAUAUGGCAGUUUUCAGAGAAUAUGGCUUGUGA